This 465-nucleotide ribosomal RNA is filed under the name uncultured bacterium. Its description in RNAcentral is "partial 16S ribosomal RNA". It matches the Rfam family "Bacterial small subunit ribosomal RNA", at positions 28 to 507 of the family's 1533-position model. The record is from RNAcentral.
GACGAACGCUGGCGGCGUGCUUAACACAUGCAAGUCGAACGGAAAGGCCCCGUUCUUGGUACUCGAGCGUCAAACGCGGGAGUAACACGAAAGUAACCAGCCCUUGCCUUCGAGAUUACUACAAGUAACGGAAACUAAUACCAAAUAGGAAUCAUAUCUUCAUGCGGGGGGUUGGAUAGCGACGGGCGGUUUGGAUGGACUCGUUGGUUAUCUGCUUGUUGGUUGGGUUGUGGCUUACCAAGGCGUUGUCGGGUAGCCGGCCUGGGAGGGCGACCGGCCAUAUUGGGACUGAGAUGCGGCCCAGACUGCUACGGGAGGGAGAAGUGGGGAAUAUUGCCGGAUGGGCGGAAGCCUGGUGCAGCAACGCCGCGUGCCGGAUGACGGCCUUCGGGUUGUAAACCGAUUUCAGAAGGGGCGAAGCUUGUGGUGACGGUACCUGCAGAAGAAGCACCGGCUAACUACGUG